This 254-nucleotide ribosomal RNA is filed under the name uncultured bacterium. RNAcentral's name for it is "partial 16S ribosomal RNA". It matches the Rfam family "Bacterial small subunit ribosomal RNA", at positions 524 to 776 of the family's 1533-position model. The record is from RNAcentral.
GACAGAGGGUGCAAACGUUGUUCGGAAUUACUGGGCAUAAAGCGCACGUAGGUGGUCCACUAAGUCGAGUGUGAAAUCCCCCGGCUCAACCGGGGAAUUGCGCUCGAUACUGGCGGGCUAGAGGUCGAUAGGGGUGAGCGGAACUCCAGGUGGAGCGGUGAAAUGCGUAGAUAUCUGGAGGAACACCGGUGGCGAAAGCGGCUCACUGGAUCGAAAACUGACACUGAGGUGCGAAAGCUAGGGUAGCAAACGGG